GCCAGCUGCAUGUUUUUAAAAGCAUGCUGAAAGAUUGAGACCUUGGUUCCAGUGACUUUUUUCUUUUCAUAAUGCAAAAAGCUUUGAUUGCCAGGCAUCCACUUCAAAGAUGACUGUCCUGAAUAAACACUUUGCCGGCCACCGCCCCUUACUGCAACUUCUUUGUUUUACACAUCUUUGUUGAUUCCAUCAUUGACCAUUUGGGCCACUGUUUUAAAAUUGUUUGUCCUUGCCCUUUAAAUUCUCACUCUUGUAUUUUAAAUUCACCAAUGAAGAGUAAGCCCGCGAAACCCUAGGCUCCACCCUCAGCCUGGACAAAAGCAGGAGCCCUGGCAGGCGCACUUUCUUUUUCUCCCUCGCCACAACCUCACUGUGUAAUCUGAAGUGUGCUGUGUAACUUCCAGUUCCUCUCACUUUUCUCCAGGGGGCUCAGGUUUCAGAGCCGGUUCUUCCUUCGGAAGGUCACCACAUCCUUCCAUCAAAGCUGCUGACCCCGGGACAGAACUUGACUCCAGGAGUUUUAACAUCCCAACCCUGAAAAAUCUUCUAACGCCCAAGGAGAAAUUUAAGAUAUAUUGAUUGGGAAGCUCUGACCCAGGUGCAUUUCCCAUAUUAUUUUUGUAAAGUGUCAAAAGUACAUGUGGUUAUUUUGUACCAACAUUAAUUAAAAGCACUGCAAAGUGCUUUUAAACAAAUUGCUUCUUCAAAUCCUUUUGGCAAUAGGGCACCGAUGAAUAGAUAACUAUGAAUAAUACUUCCACAGGUGCAGAGCUGGGAAAUACCUGCCAUUCUAGACCAGGAAAUCAAUCCUAUGUAACAACAAAUAUUUAUUUCACUAGACACAGGCAGCACCUACAUGCAUCCGGGAUAUUUUCCAUAGACAUCAAGUGGUGUACUCACGUUUACAACAUGAAUGUUUGUAUUACUUCA
Molecule: long non-coding RNA, 930 nt
Organism: Phyllostomus discolor (pale spear-nosed bat)
Lineage: Eukaryota; Metazoa; Chordata; Mammalia; Chiroptera; Phyllostomidae
Exons: 3
Source: RefSeq, a predicted model, not a curated record